ACUCAAAGGAAUUGACGGGGGCCCGCACAAGUGGUGGAGCAUGUGGUUUAAUUCGAUGAUACGCGAGGAACCUUACCUAGGCUAGAAUGCGCGUGACCGGUCCAGAGAUGGACUUUUCCUUCGGGACACAAAGCAAGGUGCUGCAUGGCCGUCGUCAGCUCGUGCCGUGAGGUGUUGGGUUAAGUCCCGCAACGAGCGCAACCCCUAUGUUUAGUUGCCAGCGGAUAAUGCCGGGGACUCUAGACAGACUGCCUGCGCAAGCAGUGAGGAAGGCGGGGACGACGUCAGGUCAUCAUGGCCCUUACGCCUAGGGCGACACACGUGCUACAAUGGACGGUACAGCGGGUAGCUACACAGCGAUGUGAUGCCAAUCUCGAAAAGCCGUUCUCAGUUCGGAUCGGAGUCUGCAACUCGACUCCGUGAAGCUGGAAUCACUAGUAAUCGCGCAUCAGCCAUGGCGCGGUGAAUACGUUCCCGGGCCUUGUACACACCGCCCGU
Molecule: ribosomal RNA, 498 nt
Filed under: uncultured bacterium
Lineage: Bacteria
Description: partial 16S ribosomal RNA
Rfam family: Bacterial small subunit ribosomal RNA
Source: RNAcentral